RNAcentral lists this ribosomal RNA (460 nucleotides) under uncultured bacterium. RNAcentral describes it as "partial 16S ribosomal RNA". It matches the Rfam family "Bacterial small subunit ribosomal RNA", at positions 338 to 795 of the family's 1533-position model. The record is from RNAcentral.
CCUACGGGAGGCUGCAGUGAGGAAUAUUGGUCAAUGGACGAGAGUCUGAACCAGCCAAGUAGCGUGAAGGAUGACUGCCCUAUGGGUUGUAAACUUCUUUUAUAAAGGAAUAAAACGAGGCACGUGUCCCUUUCUGCAUGUACUUUAUGAAUAAGGAUCGGCUAACUCCGUGCCAGCAGCCGCGGUAAUACGGAGGAUGCGAGCGUUAUCCGGAUUUAUUGGGUUUAAAGGGAGCGUAGAUGGGGUGGUAAGUCCGUAGUGAAAGUUUAUGGCGUAACCGUGAAAUUGCAAUUGAUACUGGCGGGCUUGAGUACGGUUGGGGUAGGCGGAAUUCGUGGUGUAGCGGUGAAAUGCGUAGAUAUCACGAGGAACACCGGUGGCGAAGGCGGCUUACUAAACUGUAACUGACGUUGAGGCUCGAAAGCGUGGGGAUCAAACAGGAUUAGAUACCCUGGUAGUC